Molecule: RNase P RNA, 422 nt
Filed under: Candidatus Nomurabacteria bacterium
Lineage: Bacteria; Candidatus Nomuraibacteriota
Description: RNase P RNA component class A
Rfam family: Bacterial RNase P class A
About the family: Ribonuclease P (RNase P) is a ubiquitous endoribonuclease, found in archaea, bacteria and eukarya as well as chloroplasts and mitochondria.
Source: RNAcentral
UAGGUAAGACAGAUGACUGCCCUAACGUUUACGUUGGGGAGGAAAGUCCGAGCACCGAUCUCAUCGCAAGGUGAGUGAAGGCGGAAGCGGCUAAUGACCGCCCGGAUAUAGCUUCGAGAGCAAUCGAGGAGUAAACCGAGGGAAAGUGCCACAGAGACAAUACUAGUCCACGUAAGUGGAUGAAAGGUGAAAAGUGAAGUCGGGUGGUUUUUCGCAAGAAUUGCUGCCAGCCUUCUCGGCCAUUGGUAACAGUGGUUCGCGGCAAACCCUUCCUGGUGCAAGAACAAAUUCUGAGGUCGUAAGACCAAAGUAUGGUCGUUCGCUUGAGGUGAUGGGCAACCAGCAUCCCAGAGAGAUAGUCAUCCCCCGUUAUUGGCAAGAGUAUCGGGUGACAGAACUCGGCUUAUCGUCUUAUCUCGCAC